Molecule: ribosomal RNA, 442 nt
Filed under: uncultured bacterium
Lineage: Bacteria
Description: partial 16S ribosomal RNA
Rfam family: Bacterial small subunit ribosomal RNA
Source: RNAcentral
CUACGGGUCGCUUCAGUGGGGAAUAUUGGGCAAUGGGCGCAAGCCUGACCCAGCAACGCCGCGUGAGGGAAGAAUGUCUUCGGAUUGUAAACCUCUGUCCUUGGGGACGAAAAAAAUGACGGUACCCAAGGAGGAAGCUCCGGCUAACUACGUGCCAGCAGCCGCGGUAAUACGUAGGGAGCAAGCGUUGUCCGGAAUUAUUGGGCGUAAAGGGUGCGUAGGCGGCGCUGUAAGUCAGAUGUGAAAUCCCCGGGCUUAACUCGGGAGUUGCAUUUGAAACUACAGUGCUUGAGUAAAGAAGGGGUAAGUGGAAUUCCUAGUGUAGCGGUGGAAUGCGUAGAUAUUAGGAGGAACACCAGUGGCGAAGGCGACUUACUGGUCUUUUACUGACGCUGAGGCACGAAAGCGUGGGGAGCAAACAGGAUUAGAUACCCUUGUAGUC